UGCCACUGAAUAAUAGGUUUACUUAAAAUUACAUCCCUGGUCCUUCUUCUUUCUGUAUUGCAUCGUGGUAAAUUCACAUUUCUCAGAAAUUGACAACAAAACAGAACGAAGAUAUGUAGAGGCAAAAAAGAAGGCGCAGUUGGAAAAUGAAGUGAUUAGUACGAAGUAGCAGCGCAGGCACAUUUGGAAAAUUAUGCCGAUAAGCAAGAUAGAAUUUAGGAAAAAAUGUGGUUAAUCGAGUGGCGUUAGUUAAAAUGUGCUCCAAACAUUUGGCGAACUUUUUUUCGCCUUCUCAACGUGCUAAGUUACAAGUUAAGAUGACUGCCACCACGACCGGUAGGAAGCCCGAAGCAAAGGGCAAACAACCUUCCAGGAAGCUGCCAGCUGUCCCCGAGUCGUACCUGAAGUUCAGCAAGAAGCAGGUCAGCAAACGUGCUACCCUGAUCAAGCGUAAACUAAAGCGCUCUGCUGUGAUUGCACUCCGCAAACGUCAAAACUUAUUGCAUCUGAGAAAUAUCAAGCAAAAUAUCUCCGUGAUGGACGCCGUGAGAAUAAGUUGCGCCGCCUGGCAAAGAAACGCGGCUCAUUCUACGUGCCUGCGGAAGACAUAUUGGCUUUUGUGAUCUGUAUCCGCGGUAUCAACAAAGUUGCACCAAAAGUGCGACAGUUUGUUCCGUUUUCGCCACAUUAACCACGGUUUGUUCAUCAAAUUUAACCGUUACUAUGCUACGCAUUGCAGAAUCCUAUAUCACAUGAGGUUAUCCAAAUCUUAAAUCAGUUCGUGAAUUGA
Rhagoletis zephyria (snowberry fruit fly) is the source of this 790-nucleotide long non-coding RNA. RefSeq lists it as uncharacterized. The record is from RefSeq and is a predicted model, not a curated record. Lineage: Eukaryota; Metazoa; Arthropoda; Insecta; Diptera; Tephritidae.